GGUUUGAUCGUAGCUCAGAUUGAACGCUGGCGGGAUGCUACAUGCAAGUCGAACGGCAGCACGGACUUCGGUCUGGUGGCGAGUGGCGAACAGGUGAGUAAUGUAUCGGAACGUGCCUAGUAGCGGGGGAUAACUACGCGAAAGCGUAGCUAAUACCGCAUACCUUCAGGAAAGCGGGGGGACCUUCCGGGCCUCGCACUAUUAGAACGGCCGAUAUCGGAUUAACUAGUUGGUGGGGUAACGGCUCACCAAAGCGACGAUCCGUAGCUGGUUUGAGACGACCAGCCACACUGGGACUGAACUGCAGCCCAGACUCCUACGGGAGGCAGCAGUAAGGAAUUUUGGACAAUGGAAACCUGAUCCAGCCAUCCCGCGUGUGCGAUGAAGGCCUUCGGGUUGUAAAAGCACUUUUUGGCAGGAAAGAAACGAGCGGGAUAAUACCCCGUGCAACUGACGGUACCUGCAGAAUAAGCACCGGCUAACUACGUGCCAGCAGCCGCGGUAAUACGUAGGGUGCAAGCGUUAAUCGGAAUUACUGGGCGUAAAGCGUGCGCGGGCGGUUCGGAAGAAGAUGUGAAAUCCCAGAGCUUAACUUUGAACUGCAUUUUUUAACUACCGAGCUAGAGUGUGUCAGGGAGGUGGAAUUCGCGUGUAGCAGUGAAAUGCGUAGAUAUGCGGAGGAACACCGAUGGCGAAGGCAGCCUCCUGGGAUAACACUGACGCUCAUGCACGAAAGCGUGGGGAGCAAACAGGAUUAGAUGCACCUGGUAGUCCGCCUAAACGAUGUCAACUAGCUGUUGGGGCCUUCGGGCCUUGUGUGCAGCGCAGCUAACGCGUGAAGUUGACCGCCUGGGGAGUACGGUCGCAAGAUUAAAACUCAAAGGAAUUGACGGGGACCCGCCACAAGCGGUGGAUGAUGUGGAUUAAUUCGAUGCAACGCGAAAAACCUUACCUACCCUUGACAUGUCUGGAAUCCCGAAGAGAUUUGGGAGUGCUCGCAAGAGAACCGGAACACAGGUGCUGCAUGGCUGUCGUCAGCUCGUGUCGUGAGAUGUUGGGUUAAGUCCCGCAACAGGCGCAACCCUUGUCAUUAGUUGCUACGAAAGGGCACUCCUAAUGAGACUGCCGGUGACAAACCGGAGGAAGGUGGGGAUGACGUCAAGUCCUCAUGGCCCUUAUGGGUAGGGCUUCACACGUCAUGCAAUGGUCGAGACAGAGGGUCGCCAACCCGCGAAGGGGAGCCAAUCCCAGAAACCCGAUCGUAGUCCGGAUCGCAGUCUGCAACUCGACUGCGUGAAGUCGGAAUCGCUAGUAAUCGCGGAUCAGCAUGUCGCGGUGAAUACGUUCCCGGGUCUUGUACACACCGCCGUCACACCAUGGGAGUGGGUUUUACCAGAAGUAGUUAGCCUAACCGUAAGGAGGGCGAUUACCACGGUAGGAUUCAUGACUGGGGUGAAGUCGUAACAAGGUAA
RNAcentral lists this ribosomal RNA (1472 nucleotides) under uncultured Bordetella sp. RNAcentral describes it as "partial 16S-23S ribosomal RNA intergenic spacer". It matches the Rfam family "Bacterial small subunit ribosomal RNA". Lineage: Bacteria; Pseudomonadati; Pseudomonadota; Betaproteobacteria; Burkholderiales; Alcaligenaceae. The record is from RNAcentral.